UCGGCUAAGCAUUUGCCCAGCUUCC
This 25-nucleotide small RNA is filed under the name Bombyx mori (domestic silkworm). Its description in RNAcentral is "ovarian small RNA-28978". The record is from RNAcentral. Lineage: Eukaryota; Metazoa; Arthropoda; Insecta; Lepidoptera; Bombycidae.